UUAGUUAUGAAAUAUAUUUCAAGAAAUUUUAUAUCUAGUUUUUUAAGAGUUUAAGUAUAAUGAAUAAUUUUUAUAAAAAUUAAUAUGGUUUAGCUUAUUAAUUUUAUAUAUUGUAAUAAUUUUAUAACUUUAGUAAAUUUGAUAGUGUUUAUUUUAUAAAUUUAUAAUGGAGGGUAAUAUGAAUAUAAAUUUUUAUUUAUUAUUGAUUUAUUAAAAAAUUUAUUAAAAUUUUAAAGUUUUAUUUAUAAUGAAAAAAUUAGUAAAAAUUUAUUUAUAUUUUAAAAUAUUUAAUAAGAUAUAUAAUGUUAUAAUUAUUAUAAAAAAUGAAUUCGGCAAAAAUUAUUAUUUGACUGUUUAGCAAAAACAUUGUUUCAUGAAAAAAAUAUGAAAUAAUGUCUGUCCACUGAUAUAUUUGAAGGACUGCAGUAUAUUGACUGUAUAAAAGUAGCAUAAUCAUUAGCUUUUUAAUUUGGGGUUGGUAUGAAGGCGAAACGGAUAAAUUCUUUAUUUUUUAUAAAUAUUUAAAUUUUAUUUUUAAGUGAAAAAUCUUAAUUAUUUGAGAGGGACAAGAAGACCCUAAUAAGUUUUAUUUUUCUUUUAUUUAUGUUAUAGGAAAUAAAAAUUAGAUAAUAUUAAAUUAGAAAUUUGAUUGGGGCGAUUAGUUAUAAAACAUAAUUAAAUUUUAAUUUUU
RNAcentral lists this ribosomal RNA (691 nucleotides) under Pseudopolydesmus erasus. RNAcentral describes it as "partial large subunit ribosomal RNA". Lineage: Eukaryota; Metazoa; Arthropoda; Diplopoda; Polydesmida; Polydesmidae. The record is from RNAcentral.